GACGAACGCUGGCGGUAUGCUUAACACAUGCAAGUCGAACGAGAAGUUUUUUAUUGAACCUUCGGGGGAUAUAAGAGACAGACAGUGGCGAACGGGUGAGUAACGCGUGGGCAACCUACCUAUCGGAGCGGGAUAGCCUCGAGAAAUCGGGAGUAAAACCGCAUAACACGGAUAUAUCGCAUGAUGAAUCCGUCAAAACUCCGGUGCCGAUAGAUGGGCCCGCGUCUGAUUAGCUAGUUGGUAAGGUAAGGGCUUACCAAGGCAACGAUCAGUAGCCGGUCUGAGAGGGCGAACGGCCACACUGGAACUGAGACACGGUCCAGACUCCUACGGGAGGCAGCAGUGGGGAAUAUUGCGCAAUGGGGGCAAUCCUGACGCAGCAAUACCGCGUGAGUGAAGAAGGUUUUCGGAUCGUAAAGCUCUGUUAUUGGGGAAGAAGCAGUGACGGUACCCAAUGAGGAAGUCCCGGCUAACUACGUGCCAGCAGCCGCGGUAAUACGUAGGGGACGAGCGUUGUCCGGAAUCACUGGGCGUAAAGGGCGCGUAGGCGGUCUUAUAAGUCAGAUGUGAAAGGUACCGGCUCAACCGGUGACGUGCAUUUGAAACUGUAAGACUUGAGUACUGAAGAGGCAAGCGGAAUUCCUAGUGUAGCGGUGAAAUGCGUAGAUAUUAGGAAGAACACCGGUGGCGAAGGCGGCUUGCUGGGCAGAUACUGACGCUGAGGUGCGAAAGCGUGGGGAGCGAACAGG
This 749-nucleotide ribosomal RNA is filed under the name uncultured Pseudoramibacter sp. RNAcentral describes it as "bacterial SSU rRNA". It matches the Rfam family "Bacterial small subunit ribosomal RNA", at positions 28 to 776 of the family's 1533-position model. The record is from RNAcentral. Lineage: Bacteria; Bacillati; Bacillota; Clostridia; Eubacteriales; Eubacteriaceae.